GGGGAUGUAGCUCAGUGGUAGAGCGAAUGCUUUGCAUGUAUGUGGUCCUGGGUUCAAUCCCCAGCAUCUCCG
Non-coding RNA from Salmo salar (Atlantic salmon), 72 nucleotides. NCBI's taxonomy places the organism in Eukaryota, Metazoa, Chordata, Actinopteri, Salmoniformes, Salmonidae. The record is from Rfam.